Molecule: long non-coding RNA, 1993 nt
Filed under: Manihot esculenta (cassava)
Lineage: Eukaryota; Viridiplantae; Streptophyta; Magnoliopsida; Malpighiales; Euphorbiaceae
Description: long non-coding RNA (MESC_LNC009095)
Source: RNAcentral
UCUCGUGUAUAAAUAGAUUGUAAUUUUUAUUAUGAAAUACAACAAAUAUUAUAUUUUUACAUGGUAUCAAAGCCAGGUUUGUAGAGAUUUAUUUUUCUCUCUCUCAUCAAGUCUUAACAUUUGGAGACUUAGGACUCUGUUCAUUUGGGUUAGUCGUAAAGAGUAGUAUUUGGAGACCUAGGACUCUGUUCAUUUGGGUUACUCAUAAACGGUAAUAUUCGGAGACUUAGGGCUCUGUUCAUUUGGGUUACUCAUUAAGGGUAACAUUUGGAGACUUAGGGUUUUGUUCAUUUGGGUUACUCAUAAAAGGGUAACAUUUGGAGACCUAGGACUCUGUUCAUUUGGGUUACUCAUAAAGGGUAACAUUUGGAGACUUAGGGCUCUAUUUAUUUGGGUUACUCAUAAAGGGUAACAUUUGAAGACUUAGGGCUCUGUUUAUUUGUAUUAUCCAUAAAGGGUAACAUUUGGAGACUUAGGGCUCCGUUCACAAGGCAUUGUUCACGGGAAUUAUUCAUCAGGUAUUGUUCACGAGUACUGUUCAUCGGGUACUGUUUACGGUACUGUUUAUGAGUCACGAGUACUGUUCAUCGAGUAAUGUUAGGUGAUUAGUCUUAUUAAUCAUUCUGAAUUUAUUAAGAAUUAAUGGAGUAUUUGGAAUUUCUAUAUUCUGGCAAAGGGAAUAUUUAUUGUAUUUAUGAUAUGUGUAAGGCGUUUUACCAAGCUGAGAAAAUGUGGUCUCCUGUUCUAGCGCUGAAUCUGAAUGUCGAGUCAUGGCAAAAACCAUUUGUGAAGUUUUGUGGGUACGUCAAUUAUUGGAAGAAAUUGGGUUCACAAAUUCGGUGUCUGCUAAGUUGUAUGGGACGAGUUGAUUAUAUAUGUAACAAGUUGGGCAUGAUUAACAUUUAUACUCCAACUUGAGGGGAGUGUUAUAGAUUAUAGGAAGUAAAUAUAUUAAUAUAGGAAGUAAAUAUUGAUAGAUGGGUUAGUUGCUUAAUCUUAGGGACUGUAUAAUCAUAGACUUGAUUUUCCUUCCUGUUUAGAUACCGUCUCUCGUGUAUAAAUAGAUUGUAAUCUUUAUUAUGAAAUACAACAACAAAUAUUAUAUUUCUACACGGUAGAUACAGAAAAGAAGUCUCAAACCUACGACAAUCGAAAAUAUACUGCUAUUGUUCUCUUUACCAUUCCAUAUUCAAUGAUGGAAGUUAUACUGUCGUGGAAUUUAUUGAAACCUUCUAUUGACACUAGAUAAAAAAAGAAUUAAAAAUAAAUCCUUAUGGACAAAAAGAAAGAAAGUUCAAUACUUCAAUUCUAAUUAAAAAUGUUUUUUUGGAAUGAAUCAUGAAAUCAAUGCCAUAAUCAUAGGUUUAAGUUGAAUAUAAUCAAAAUCUAAAUAGAGUUCAGAUGCAUGUGUCUGACACGCCUGUCAACUGCGACAAAUAAAUAAAUAAACUUGAGAUUCACACUUCCCCAUAUUUCAAACUAUCAACUGUGAAUCUUUAAAAUACAAAUGUUCGCAGCCAGUGUGAAAAGGUGAUAUAACACAUUUAAAGAGCUCCAUGCUAAUUUAGAACAGGUGGUUCAAGAGUAAUUGGAGCAGGCUCAAAGACAGUAGUUCAAAAGAGCAGCCUGUAGAUUCUAGUUCCUUUAAGAUUUCAUAUUGCAUUUACUUUUUUUCCUGUAACAACAAAUGCUUAUUAUUUAAUUUUCCUAUUUCCUCUUGGAUUAAGUUUUUAUAGCCCAAUCAAAUUUCCCUUAGGAUUUACAUUAUUUCUUAUUUAUAUUGGAUUUAGACCAAGCUGUUUUGGGACUUCUAUUUGGACCAGCAGACCGCCCUAUAAGUAAAUGAUGCUUGGACAUAAUUUGGUAGCUAAUACAUCAGUUUUUGAUGUCUCAAGUUGCAUUCAAAAUUUCUCAAACUCACGCAUUUUUUCCAGGAUUUAGUCAAUUGCUAAACCUGUAUUUUUUCUAUGCAAACCCACUGCACAAUAUAUAU